Molecule: ribosomal RNA, 465 nt
Filed under: uncultured bacterium
Lineage: Bacteria
Description: partial 16S ribosomal RNA
Rfam family: Bacterial small subunit ribosomal RNA
Source: RNAcentral
CUACGGGCCGCUCCAGUGGGGAAUAUUGGACAAUGGGGGAAACCCUGAUCCAGCAAUGCCGCGUGUGUGAAGAAGGCCUGCGGGUUGUAAAGCACUUUCGGUUGGGAGGACUGCUUCUAGCACUAAUAUUGUUGGAAGUUGACGUUACCUUCAGAAGAAGCACAGGCUAACUCCGUGCCAGCAGCCGCGGUAAUACGGGGGGUGCAAGCGUUAAUCGGAAUUACUGGGCGUAAAGCGCGCGUAGGCGGCUAGAUCAGUCGGGUGUGAAAGCCCCGGGCUUAACCUGGGAACUGCAUCCGAUACUGUCUAGCUUGAGUACAGGAGAGGAGAGUGGAAUUCCACAUGUAGCGGUGAAAUGCGUAGAUAUGUGGAGGAACACCAAUGGCGAAGGCAGCUCUCUGGCCUGAUACUGACGCUGAGGUGCGAAAGCGUGGGGAGCAAACAGGAUUAGAUACCCCAGUAGUC